RNAcentral lists this ribosomal RNA (429 nucleotides) under Bacteroidota bacterium. RNAcentral's name for it is "Bacteroidetes bacterium partial 16S ribosomal RNA". It matches the Rfam family "Bacterial small subunit ribosomal RNA", at positions 355 to 776 of the family's 1533-position model. The record is from RNAcentral. Lineage: Bacteria; Pseudomonadati; Bacteroidota.
UAGGGAAUCUUCGGCAAUGGGGGGAACCCUGACCGAGCAACGCCGCGUGAGUGAAGAAGGUUUUCGGAUCGUAAAGCUCUGUUGUUAAGGAAGAACGAGUGUGAGAAUGGAAAGUUCAUACUGUGACGGUACUUAACCAGAAAGGGACGGCUAACUACGUGCCAGCAGCCGCGGUAAUACGUAGGUCCCGAGCGUUGUCCGGAUUUAUUGGGCGUAAAGCGAGCGCAGGCGGUUAGAAAAGUCUGAAGUGAAAGGCAGUGGCUCAACCAUUGUAGGCUUUGGAAACUGUUUAACUUGAGUGCAGAAGGGGAGAGUGGAAUUCCAUGUGUAGCGGUGAAAUGCGUAGAUAUAUGGGGGAACACCGGUGGCGAAAGCGGCUCUCUGGUCUGUAACUGACGCUGAGGCUCGAAAGCGUGGGUAGCAAACAGG